RNAcentral lists this ribosomal RNA (394 nucleotides) under uncultured bacterium. Its description in RNAcentral is "partial 16S ribosomal RNA". It matches the Rfam family "Bacterial small subunit ribosomal RNA", at positions 523 to 918 of the family's 1533-position model. The record is from RNAcentral.
AUACGUAGGUGACAAGCGUUAUCCGGAUUUACUGGGCGUAAAGGGCGUGUAGGCGGUCUUGCAAGUCAGAAGUGAAAUUCCUGAGCUCAACUCGGGCGCUGCUUCUGAAACUGCAGGACUUGAGUGCUGGAGGGGAUAGCGGAAUUCCUAGUGGAGCGGUAAAAUGCGCAGAUAUCACUCAGAACACCGAUUGCGAAGGCAUCUGACGAACUGCCCACUGACGCUGAGGCACGAAAGCGUGGGGAUCAAACAGGAUUAGAUACCCUGGUAGUCCACGCAGUAAACGAUGAUGACUAACUGCCGGCCCGUUGCGGGUCGGUGGCCAAGCGAAAGCGAUAAGUCAUCCACCUGGGGAGUACGACCGCAAGGUUGAAACUCAAAGGAAUUGACGGGG